CAAUAAGCGGAGGAAAAGAAACUAACAAGGAUUCCCCUAGUAACGGCGAGUGAAGCGGGAAGAGCUCAAAUUUGUAAUCUGGCCCUUUCAGGGUCCGAGUUGUAAUCUCGAGAAGUGUUUUCCGCGCCGGACCGCAUACAAGUCUGUUGGAAUACAGCGUCAUAGUGGUGAGAGCCCCGUAAUUGAUGUGGAUGCCCGGUGCUUUGUGAUACACUUUCGAAGAGUCGAGUUGUUUGGGAAUGCAGCUCAAAUUGGGUGGUAAAUUCCAUCUAAAGCUAAAUAUUGGCGAGAGACCGAUAGCGAACAAGUACCGUGAGGGAAAGAUGAAAAGCACUUUGGAAAGAGAGUUAACAGUACGUGAAAUUGUUGGAAGGGAAACGCUUGAAGUCAGACUUGCUAUUCGGAAUUCAGCCGCAAGGUGUACUUUUCGAUUUGCAGGCCAGCAUCAGUUUUUGGGGGUGGAAAAGGGUGGAGAGAAGGUAGCAACCUUGGUUGUGUUAUAGCUCUUUACUGGAUUCAUCUUUGGGGACUGAGGAUCGCAGUGCGCAAUUUACUUUGCAAACCUUUCGAGGUUUUCGUACUUAGGAUGCUGGUGGAAUGGCUUUAAACGACCCGUCUUGAA
This 622-nucleotide ribosomal RNA is filed under the name Glaciozyma antarctica. RNAcentral describes it as "LSU rRNA". It matches the Rfam family "Eukaryotic large subunit ribosomal RNA", at positions 44 to 658 of the family's 3401-position model. Lineage: Eukaryota; Fungi; Basidiomycota; Microbotryomycetes; Kriegeriales; Camptobasidiaceae. The record is from RNAcentral.